This is a non-coding RNA of Myotis lucifugus (little brown bat), 76 nucleotides long. The record is from Rfam. Lineage: Eukaryota; Metazoa; Chordata; Mammalia; Chiroptera; Vespertilionidae.
GGCAGUUCUUGGGUGACUCGCCCUGGAAUCAGGCUCCCUCCUCUCUGGGUUCCGGGUGCAUUACCCGAGAACCGCA